AACGCGAAGAACCUUACCGAGGCUUGACAUCGGAGGAACAUCAUAGAAAUAUGGUUUCGGAGCAAUCCGACUUCCAGACAGGUGCUGCAUGGCUGUCGUCAGCUCGUGCCGUGAGGUGUUGGGUUAAGUCCCGCAACGAGCGCAACCCUCGUCGUGUGUUGGUCCGCAAGGAUCUCUCACGCGAGACCGCCGGUGAGAAGCCGGAGGAAGGUGGGGAUGACGUCAAGUCAGCAUGGCCCUUACGUCUCGGGCUACACACGUGCUACAAUGGGGAGGACAACGAGUCGCUAGCUAGUGAUAGUCUGCCAAUCUCUUAAACCUCUCCUCAGUUCGGAUUGAAGGCUGCAACUCGCCUUCAUGAAGUCGGAAUCGCUAGUAAACGCAGAUCAGCUACGCUGCGUUGAAUACGUUCCCGGGCCUUGUA
Molecule: ribosomal RNA, 424 nt
Filed under: uncultured bacterium
Lineage: Bacteria
Description: bacterial SSU rRNA
Rfam family: Bacterial small subunit ribosomal RNA
Source: RNAcentral